RNAcentral lists this transfer RNA (84 nucleotides) under Heterocephalus glaber (naked mole-rat). Lineage: Eukaryota; Metazoa; Chordata; Mammalia; Rodentia; Bathyergidae. The record is from Rfam by way of RNAcentral.
GGGGGUAUAGCUCAGUGGUAGAGCAUUUGACUGCAAAAUAACUGAAGGUUUUGGAAUUUUCUGUUUGUGACUCACAUUCCCCUG